ACGGGUGAGUAAUGCAUAGAAAUCUGCCCGGUAGUGGGGGAUAACCUGGGGAAACCCAGGCUAAUACCGCAUACGUCCUACGGGAGAAAGCAGGGGCUCUUCGGACCUUGCGCUAUCGGAUGAGUCUAUGUCGGAUUAGCUUGUUGGUGAGGUAAUGGCUCACCAAGGCGACGAUCCGUAGCUGGUCUGAGAGGAUGAUCAGCCACAUCGGGACUGAGACACGGCCCGAACUCCUACGGGAGGCAGCAGUGGGGAAUAUUGGACAAUGGGCGAAAGCCUGAUCCAGCCAUGCCGCGUGUGUGAAGAAGGCCUUCGGGUUGUAAAGCACUUUCAGUGGGGAAGAAAGCCUAGGGGCUAAUACCCUCGAGGAAGGACAUCACCCACAGAAGAAGCACCGGCUAACUCCGUGCCAGCAGCCGCGGUAAUACGGAGGGUGCGAGCGUUAAUCGGAAUUACUGGGCGUAAAGCGCGCGUAGGCGGUCUGAUAAGCCGGUUGUGAAAGCCCCGGGCUCAACCUGGGAACGGCAUCCGGAACUGUCAGGCUAGAGUGCAGGAGAGGAAGGUAGAAUUCCCGGUGUAGCGGUGAAAUGCGUAGAGAUCGGGAGGAAUACCAGUGGCGAAGGCGGCCUUCUGGACUGACACUGACGCUGAGGUGCGAAAGCGUGGGUAGCAAACAGGAUUAGAUACCCUGGUAGUCCACGCCGUAAACGAUGUCGACUAGCCGUUGGGCUCCUUGAGAGCUUUGUGGCGCAGUUAACGCGAUAAGUCGACCGCCUGGGGAGUACGGCCGCAAGGUUAAAACUCAAAUGAAUUGACGGGGGCCCGCACAAGCGGUGGAGCAUGUGGUUUAAUUCGAUGCAACGCGAAGAACCUUACCUACCCUUGACAUCGUGCGAACUUUCCAGAGAUGGAUUGGUGCCUUCGGGAACGCACAGACAGGUGCUGCAUGGCUGUCGUCAGCUCGUGUUGUGAAAUGUUGGGUUAAGUCCCGUAACGAGCGCAACCCUUGUCCUUAUUUGCCAGCGCGUAAUGGCGGGAACUCUAAGGAGACUGCCGGUGACAAACCGGAGGAAGGUGGGGACGACGUCAAGUCAUCAUGGCCCUUACGGGUAGGGCUACACACGUGCUACAAUGGCCGGUACAAAGGGUUGCGAAGCCGCGAGGUGGAGCUAAUCCCGAAAAGCUGGUCUCAGUCCGGAUCGGAGUCUGCAACUCGA
This 1217-nucleotide ribosomal RNA is filed under the name uncultured bacterium. Its description in RNAcentral is "bacterial SSU rRNA". It matches the Rfam family "Bacterial small subunit ribosomal RNA", at positions 102 to 1315 of the family's 1533-position model. The record is from RNAcentral.